RNAcentral lists this ribosomal RNA (381 nucleotides) under uncultured eukaryote. RNAcentral describes it as "partial 18S ribosomal RNA". It matches the Rfam family "Eukaryotic small subunit ribosomal RNA", at positions 592 to 976 of the family's 1831-position model. The record is from RNAcentral.
CAAUAGCGUAUAUUAAAGUUGUUGCGGUAAAAAAGCUCGUAGUUGGAUUUCUACCGAAGAUAGCCGGUCGGGUCUUCGACCUUGUAUCUGGUUUUGUCUUUGGUAUCCUCAUAGGGAACGUUUCUGCGCUUUAUUGCGUGGUGCGGUAUCUAUGACUUUUACUUUGGGGAAAUUAGAGUGUUCACGGCAGGCAAACGCCUUGAAUAUAUUAGCAUGGAAUAAUAACAUAGGAUCUUCGUCCUAUUUUGUUGGUUUCUAGGGCUAAGAUAAUGAUUAAUAGGGAUAAUUGGGGGCAUCUGUAUCAACGCGUCAGAGGUGGAAUUCUUGGAUUGCGUUGCGACAAACUACUGCGAAAGCAUUUGCCAGGGAUGUUUUCAUUGA